Molecule: ribosomal RNA, 575 nt
Filed under: uncultured bacterium
Lineage: Bacteria
Description: bacterial SSU rRNA
Rfam family: Bacterial small subunit ribosomal RNA
Source: RNAcentral
AUUAGAUACCCUGGGUAGUCCACGCAGUAAACGAUGAAUACUAAUUGUUCGGUUCGAUUGAGAGCUGAGUGAUACAGCGAAAGCGUUAAGUAUUCCACCUGGGGAGUACGCCGGCAACGGUGAAACUCAAAGGAAUUGACGGGGGCCCGCACAAGCGGAGGAACAUGUGGUUUAAUUCGAUGAUACGCGAGGAACCUUACCCGGGCUUGAAUUGCAGAGGAAAGAUCCAGAGAUGGUGAUGCCCUUCGGGGCCUCUGUGAAGGUGCUGCAUGGUUGUCGUCAGCUCGUGCCGUGAGGUGUCGGCUUAAGUGCCAUAACGAGCGCAACCCCCAUCGCCAGUUACCAUCAAGUGAAGUUGGGGACUCUGGCGAGACUGCCGGCGCAAGCUGCGAGGAAGGCGGGGAUGACGUCAAAUCAGCACGGCCCUUACGUCCGGGGCGACACACGUGUUACAAUGGCAGGCACAGAGAGAAGCGACAUGGCGACAUGAAGCGGAACUGGUAAAACCUGUCUCAGUUCGGAUUGGAGUCUGCAACCCGACUCCAUGAAGCUGGAUUCGCUAGUAAUCGCGCAUC